AGUGAACGCUGGCGGUAGGCCUAACACAUGCAAGUCGAACGGCAGCACAGUAAGAGCUUGCUCUUACGGGUGGCGAGUGGCGGACGGGUGAGGAAUACAUCGGAAUCUACUUUUUCGUGGGGGAUAACGUAGGGAAACUUACGCUAAUACAGCAUACGACCUACGGGUGAAAGCAGGGGAUCUUCGGACCUUGCGCGAUUGAAUGAGCCGAUGUCGGAUUAGCUAGUUGGCGGGGUAAAGGCCCACCAAGGCGACGAUCCGUAGCUGGUCUGAGAGGAUGAUCAGCCACACUGGAACUGAGACACGGUCCAGACUCCUACGGGAGGCAGCAGUGGGGAAUAUUGGACAAUGGGCGCAAGCCUGAUCCAGCCAUACCGCGUGGGUGAAGAAGGCUUUCGGGUUGUAAAGCCCUUUUGUUGGGAAAGAAAAGCAGCAGGUUAAUACCCCGCUGUUCUGACGGUACCCAAAGAAUAAGCACCGGCUAACUUCGUG
RNAcentral lists this ribosomal RNA (492 nucleotides) under uncultured bacterium. Its description in RNAcentral is "partial 16S ribosomal RNA". It matches the Rfam family "Bacterial small subunit ribosomal RNA", at positions 29 to 507 of the family's 1533-position model. The record is from RNAcentral.